Molecule: ribosomal RNA, 253 nt
Filed under: uncultured bacterium
Lineage: Bacteria
Description: partial 16S ribosomal RNA
Rfam family: Bacterial small subunit ribosomal RNA
Source: RNAcentral
UACGUAGGGUGCGAGCGUUAAUCGGAAUUACUGGGCGUAAAGCGUGCGCAGGCGGCGCGUUAAGACAGGUGUGAAAGCCCCGAGCUUAACUUGGGAACUGCGUCUGAGACUGGCGAGCUUGAGGGCAGGAGAGGAACGCGGAAUUCCAGGUGUAGCGGUGAAAUGCGUAGAUAUCUGGAGGAACACCGGUGGCGAAGGCGGCGUUCUGGACUGCAUCUGACACUGAAAGACGAAAGCCAGGGGAGCAAACGGG